This 241-nucleotide long non-coding RNA is filed under the name Nicotiana benthamiana. RNAcentral describes it as "long non-coding RNA (NBEN_LNC019837)". Lineage: Eukaryota; Viridiplantae; Streptophyta; Magnoliopsida; Solanales; Solanaceae. The record is from RNAcentral.
AUUUAUUCUUCAACCUUCAAGAAUCAACUUAAGGUGGUAAGAUUAAACCAAUUUCGAAAUCUUAGAUCACUUCUAGGUAUUCAAGAAAGGUGAUAAGUUUAGGCUUAUUGUUGUUCUUGUUAUAAUUAAGGGUCGGGUUUCACAAUUUUCGAAAUCUUAGAUCACUUCUAGGUAUUUAUGAAAGGUGAUAAGUUUAGGCUUAUUGUUGUUCUUGUUAUUCUAAAGGGCCGGGUUUCACAAU